UGCGUAGGCGGCGCGGAAAGUUGGGUGUGAAAGCCCUCGGCUCAACCGAGGAAUUGCGCCCAAAACUACCGUGCUUGAGGAAGAUAGAGGUGAGCGGAACUCAGGGUGGAGCGGUGAAAUGCGUUGAUAUCCUGAGGAACACCGGUGGCGAAAGCGGCUCACUGGAUCUUUUCUGACGCUGAGGCACGAAAGCUAGGGUAGCGAACG
RNAcentral lists this ribosomal RNA (207 nucleotides) under uncultured bacterium. RNAcentral describes it as "partial 16S ribosomal RNA". It matches the Rfam family "Bacterial small subunit ribosomal RNA", at positions 568 to 774 of the family's 1533-position model. The record is from RNAcentral.